Molecule: ribosomal RNA, 450 nt
Filed under: uncultured bacterium
Lineage: Bacteria
Description: partial 16S ribosomal RNA
Rfam family: Bacterial small subunit ribosomal RNA
Source: RNAcentral
GUGGGGAAUAUUGGACAAUGGGCGAAAGCCUGAUCCAGCCAUGCCGCGUGUGUGAAGAAGGUCUUCGGAUUGUAAAGCACUUUAAGUUGGGAGGAAGGGUAGUAACCUAAUACGUUGCUACUUUGACGUUACCGACAGAAUAAGCACCGGCUAACUUCGUGCCAGCAGCCGCGGUAAUACGAAGGGUGCAAGCGUUAAUCGGAAUUACUGGGCGUAAAGCGCGCGUAGGUGGUUCAGUAAGUUGGAAGUGAAAUCCCCGGGCUCAACCUGGGGACUGCUUUCAAAACUGCUGAGCUAGAGUACGGUAGAGGGUGGUGGAAUUUCCUGUGUAGCGGUGAAAUGCGUAGAUAUAGGAAGGAACACCAGUGGCGAAGGCGACCACCUGGACUGAUACUGACACUGAGGUGCGAAAGCGUGGGGAGCAAACAGGAUUAGAAACCCGAGUAGUCC